AUCGAUCAGAGCAGGGAAGACAAGGUUAACCCUUGUUCUUGCAAGAUUCAUCUAAUCAACAAGGGAAUUCAAGGUCGAUCAGUUGCAUGUCACCAAAUUUUCGAUCUACUUAUCAUACUCAAUAGAAUGGUAUGAAGGAAGAAGGUUCAGAUACUAGGAAAUCGGAAGGUUCACAAGAUCGAGGUAAAUCCUCAAUGUAGGCGACUUGGCAAAUUGGAGCGAGCAUAUGCACACUUUAUGAACACCAAGCGCUUCUGCUAUUAUGUAUUAAUGUUUUGGGUCAAAUGUCCGUAUUUGGUAUGACAUUGUUAGUAGUUACACUUGUUAAUACUUGGUGUAUGGUCUUAGUCGUGUCUAGUCGAACGGGUCGUAAACUUGUUUGUUUGUUGAUGGUUAAUACAGGGAUACACUCGUCUUACGGACGGGUCAUGCCCAAAUUUCGUUAAAA
Long non-coding RNA from Helianthus annuus (common sunflower), 448 nucleotides. RefSeq lists it as uncharacterized. The transcript has 3 exons. The record is from RefSeq and is a predicted model, not a curated record. NCBI's taxonomy places the organism in Eukaryota, Viridiplantae, Streptophyta, Magnoliopsida, Asterales, Asteraceae.